RNAcentral lists this long non-coding RNA (1950 nucleotides) under Hordeum vulgare. Its description in RNAcentral is "long non-coding RNA (HVUL_LNC006129)". Lineage: Eukaryota; Viridiplantae; Streptophyta; Magnoliopsida; Poales; Poaceae. The record is from RNAcentral.
GAUUGUGCGGAGUGCGACGCAAACUAUUGUCAGGAGUGUGACCUUCUGAAUCAGAAUCAAGGCAAGUUACAUGUUGAUCAUCCUUUACCUAUUAUUUUUCUAUGCAUGUAGUAUUAUAUCACCCUAUGAAAAUUAUGCAUGUAUAGGAAGAUUAUUAUUGCUAUGCUAUUGAGCUAUAUCCCCUCGUCAUUGAAAGAUCGUGCUAGAUAUAUUUUGCUAUGCUAUGUAGACGGGGAUUGGUUCCUGUAUUCAUUGAGAUUAUGUGAGGAUUACUACAAAAUAAAAUUGAGUAGUAAUUCAGGAUAUAAUACACCUCUGGGCGGAUAUGGUAUUGCUGGGUGGUUUCAAGAAUAUCAUGGUUUCUACCCUCUGAAUGUAAGUGGAAUGCCGCCUAGGUUCAAAAAGAUCAGACAGACUUAGUGACUAGUAGCUUCCUUGUGCGACCACUGGCCAUUAUGGGCUCUGGCUUAGUUGAUCAGUCGUGGAAACCUUACCCGGAUGUGCCAGCUGAUGUAGCUAUGAUAGGUGGGAUGGGCCUCCUGUGGGACUAGGUGACUGCUUCUGAAAGACUUCGUCUCAAUCUUCGGGUUGGGUCCAGUGGGUACAGCGUACUAACCUCUGCAGAGUGUAUAAACUAAUCAUGAUUAGCCGUGUCCCCGGUUAUGGACAAUUUUGAGCAGCUAGGCCAUUACAGUUGUUGGAUGAUCUUGACAGAUGACACACUUAAUAAAACUUGGUGGGAAACUUAAUAAUGGUAAUAGGUUGGAGUUGGAGAUGCCAAUUCAACCAUAUGUGAAUUAUUGUAGCAUACAAACUAAAACUUGACUAUUAGGUAGCUAUGAGGAUAAAAUCAGCUUUCUGCAAAAUAACCAUCAGCCUUUCUCUUGUUAUACUAUGCAUAUACAUGUAGGUCUGUUAUAUUUUUUUUCCUGUGUAACUUGCCAAUACAUUCAAAGUAUUGACCUAUAUGGCUGCAACGUAUCAUGUUGCAGGAUUUUCAGACGAGGAGUAAGGUACCGUUAGGGUCGCGAGUCUUCACUCAACACCGCCAGUGGGCUAUGAUGGGACUCAUCGUUAUUAUUCUGCUACUUUUCCGCUGUUUAUUAGAAUAAAGCUAGCUAAGUGCUAUGCAGAUUGUUAUAUUUUAUAAAUUCUGGAUCAUACGUUAUUAUAACUGAUGCACUUGCUAUAUCUGGUUUUCAUCUAUACUGUGUGUGUUAGCGAGUCGAUCCAGGGACUAGCACAGUAAAGCACAGAGACUCAAAUCCUUCGAGGUUUGGUCGUUACAGAUGGUAUCAGAGCAAUGCGUUGACUGUAGGUCGUGACCCUAGAAAAUGGAUUAGAAAAGCCAUAGGAGUGAAAAUUUAUUCUAUUAACUUUGUCUACAUCUUACUCUUUCAUUAGACAACCACCCUAGUAUCUUGACCAGCUUAAGUAGGAACUAGUGUUGAGACCACCACUUAUCUUGUUUUAUUUGCGCUAUUAACGUGUUAGCGUAUCUGUUUAUGCCCGCUUUGUGGCAUGACGGUACUAGGUUGCUUGCUUGAUUGUUAUUUUGCUUGUUUGUUAAACUAGGAUCUUGUCGAGAUUAUUCGACUAUAUAUAUAGAUAUGUUUGAUUAUUGUUAUGCUUGUUUGUGUUAUUUGUUAUGAUGUUUUGUUGCCUCAUAUAUAUUACAUUGAUCAUAAUAUGCAUAUGGGUAGAAUAUCUAUAUUCCUUUAGACCUAUUCUAUCUACUUUCUUAUCUAUUCUUGCCCACCAGAUGCGGCCGAGACGUGAGCCUAGGGACGGGAAUGCAGGAGGAGGCAACAAUGAUGGCAAUGGCAAUGAUGCACCGCAAUAUGUGCGGCAGAUACUUGAGGGACAAGGCCAGUUGAUCCAGUUGCUUGCCCAGAGUUUGGCCAACAAUAACAACAACAACCCACCGCCUCCGCCACCUAUGGAUAUGCU